RNAcentral lists this unclassified non-coding RNA (1349 nucleotides) under uncultured Neocallimastigales. Its description in RNAcentral is "partial contains small subunit ribosomal RNA, internal transcribed spacer 1, 5.8S ribosomal RNA, internal transcribed spacer 2, and large subunit ribosomal RNA". The stretch from base 625 to 1349 matches the Rfam family "Eukaryotic large subunit ribosomal RNA", at positions 1 to 625 of the family's 3401-position model. Lineage: Eukaryota; Fungi; Neocallimastigomycota; Neocallimastigomycetes; Neocallimastigales. The record is from RNAcentral.
AAGUCGUAACAAGUUUCCGUAGGUGAACCUGCGGAAGGAUCAUUAAAAAAUUCUGCCAUUGUUUGUGGAACAUAAUCAUCCUACCUUUGUGAAUUUGUGUUGUAAUAAUUUUUAAAGAAAAUUAUUUACUGUCUAUCCGGAUAGUAAAAGUUGGAAGAGUAAUCUAGAAACUUUUGCUUUCAGGAAUAGUAUGUAAUAAAUUUUCGUUUAAAGACCUUUUUUUAAAUUAAACUUUGUAUUCAUUGUCUAAAUUUAUUUUAAUAAUUAAAACAACUUUUGACAAUGAUCUCUUGUUCUCGCAACGAUGAGAACGCAGCAAAAUGCGAUAAGUAGUGUGAAUUGCAGAAUACGUGAUCAUCAAAUCUUCGAACGCAUAUUGCACUUUUUAGUUUACUAAAAAAGUAUGUCUGUUGAGUAUCAGUAAAAUAUUCUCAAUAAACUUUUUGUUUAUUGUUAUGAGUGUUUACAACGAUACAAGUUGUUUCACUUUAAAUUGACUUAUAUAAACCUAUCCAUUAGGUCAAUUUUUAAAAUGGAUAAAUUUCCUGUAAAAGGGAAUAACUUGACAGUUUUAAAGAAAGAUCUAAAAAGGUUUCUUAAAAGGAAAUUUAUAAUAAACUAACUUGAUCUCAAAUCAGAUAAGAGUACCGCUGAACUUAAGCAUAUCAAUAGCGGAGGAAAAGAAACUAACAAGGAUUCCCUAGUAACGGCGAGUGAAGCGGAAGAGCUCAAAUUUGAAAUCUUCAAGGGUUCCCUUGACGAAUUGUAGUUUAGAAGUGUUUCUGUUAGAGAGUGUAAAGUUCUUUGGAAUAGGACAUCAUAGAGGGUGAGAACCCGUAUUUGAUCACUUUCUACUACGUGUGAUACACUUUCAACGAGUCGGAUUGUUUGGGAAUGCAGUCCAAUGGUGGUAAUUCAUCUAAAGCUAAAUAUUGCGAGAGACGAUAACGAACAGUACCGUAGGGAAGAUGAAAGAACUUGGAAAGAGAGUUAACAGUACGUGAAUUGUCAAAAGGGAGCGUUUGACACCAGUGUGUUUUCCGAAAAUCAAUUACGAAUGGCGGAUUCUAAGUUUCAUGACCUUAAAAGCUUGUUCUUUCUUUCCUGUCUUCUUAAUGCACUUUCGGUUAACAGUCACAUCAAUUCUUUUGUGUAAAGGUUAAGAGGAGGUGGCUUACUUUCGGGUAAAGUGUUUAUAGCCUUUAACUCUGCAAUCGGAGAGAUUGAGGUCUGCAGCGUAGAUCCUUCGGGCUAGAUACGUUGUGCUAAGUUAUAGCUUUUCAUAGACAACUGUUGACUAUGUUAGUCUGUAGCUACUCGCAGAUGCUAUUUUACUACGCUUAGGUGUU